RNAcentral lists this unclassified non-coding RNA (204 nucleotides) under soil metagenome. RNAcentral's name for it is "partial contains 5.8S ribosomal RNA, internal transcribed spacer 2, and large subunit ribosomal RNA". The record is from RNAcentral.
AACCUUAUGGACCUGCGGGCGUAUACCUGCGGAGGGAUCAUUACCUAGAGUUGUAGGCUUUGCCUGCUAUCUCUUACCCAUGUCUUUUGAGUACCUUACGUUUCCUCGGUGGGUUCGCCCGCCGGUUGGACAAAACUUAAACCCUUUGUAGUUGCAAUCAGCGUCUGAAAAAACUUAAUAGUUACAACUUUCAACAACGGAUCU